Molecule: ribosomal RNA, 853 nt
Filed under: uncultured Flavobacteriaceae bacterium
Lineage: Bacteria; Pseudomonadati; Bacteroidota; Flavobacteriia; Flavobacteriales; Flavobacteriaceae
Description: bacterial SSU rRNA
Rfam family: Bacterial small subunit ribosomal RNA
Source: RNAcentral
AGGCUUAACACAUGCAAGUCGAGGGGUAACAGAGAGUGCUUGCACUCUGCUGACGACCGGCGCACGGGUGAGUAACGCGUAUGCAACCUACCUUUUACAGGGGAAUAGCCCAGAGAAAUUUGGAUUAAUACCCCAUAUUAUCUUUUUUUCGCAUGAAUAAGAGAUGAAAGUUUCGACGGUAAAAGAUGGGCAUGCGUCCUAUUAGUUUGUUGGUAAGGUAACGGCUUACCAAGACUUCGAUAGGUAGGGGCCCUGAGAGGGGGAUCCCCCACACUGGUACUGAGACACGGACCAGACUCCUACGGGAGGCAGCAGUGAGGAAUAUUGGACAAUGGAGGAAACUCUGAUCCAGCCAUGCCGCGUGCAGGAUGAAUGCCCUAUGGGUUGUAAACUGCUUUUAUACAGGAAGAAACAUUUCCACGUGUGGAAACUUGACGGUACUGUAAGAAUAAGGAUCGGCUAACUCCGUGCCAGCAGCCGCGGUAAUACGGAGGAUCCAAGCGUUAUCCGGAAUUAUUGGGUUUAAAGGGUCCGUAGGUGGUUAUUUAAGUCAGAGGUGAAAUCCUGCCGCUUAACGGUAGAACUGCCUUUGAUACUGAUUAACUUGAGUUAUUGUGAAGUAGUUAGAAUAUGUAGUGUAGCGGUGAAAUGCAUAGAUAUUACAUAGAAUACCGAUUGCGAAGGCAGAUUACUAACAAUAUACUGACACUGAGGGACGAAAGCGUGGGUAGCGAACAGGAUUAGAUACCCUGGUAGUCCACGCCGUAAACGAUGGUCACUAGCUGUUUGAUUAACAUUGGUUAAUUAAGUGGCUAAGCGAAAGUGAUAAGUGACCCACCUGGGGAGUACGCUC